CUAACUCUCUCCCUCAAUGGCU
Molecule: microRNA, 22 nt
Filed under: Corchorus olitorius
Lineage: Eukaryota; Viridiplantae; Streptophyta; Magnoliopsida; Malvales; Malvaceae
Description: nta-miR14
Source: RNAcentral